AGAGUUUGAUUAUGGCUCAGGAUGAACGCUGGCGGCGUGCUUAACACAUGCAAGUCGAACGGAGCCAAGAGAUGCUUGCAUCUCUGAAGCUUAGUGGCGGACGGGUGAGUAACGCGUGAGUAACCUGCCCUUUACCGGGGGAUAACACUUAGAAAUAGGUGCUAAUACCGCAUAAGCGCACAGAGCCGCAUGGUUCAGUGUGAAAAACUCCCGGUGGUAAAGGAUGGACUCGCGUCUGAUUAGCCAGUUGGCAGGGUAACGGCCUACCCAAAGCGACGAUCAGUAGCCGGCCUGAGAGGGUGAACGGCCACAUUGGGACUGAGACACGGCCCAAACUCCUACGGGGGGCAGCAGUGGGGGAUAUUGCACAAUGGGGGAAACCCUGAUGCAGCGACGCCGCGUGAGUGAAGAAGUAUUUCGGUAUGUAAAGCUCUAUCAGCAGGGAAGAAAAUGACGGUACCUGACUAAGAAGCCCCGGCUAACUACGUGCCAGCCGCCGC
This 500-nucleotide ribosomal RNA is filed under the name uncultured bacterium. RNAcentral describes it as "bacterial SSU rRNA". It matches the Rfam family "Bacterial small subunit ribosomal RNA", at positions 8 to 518 of the family's 1533-position model. The record is from RNAcentral.